UGGAAAUGAUGAAAUAGAGAUAACUGGGUGUUGAAUGUUUUAUGUUUGGAAAUUUCUAAUAUUUAAGUGAUAUAUCUGAGCUUUUCUUUAAAAAAUUUGGGCAUCAUAAAAUUACACUCCAG
Suricata suricatta (meerkat) is the source of this 122-nucleotide non-coding RNA. The record is from Ensembl. Lineage: Eukaryota; Metazoa; Chordata; Mammalia; Carnivora; Herpestidae.